UGUGUACACAUUAAAUUGGAGGAAAUUUGUUUAAGGAACCAUUAUGAAUUACUGGCUGUUUUUCUUUUUCCUCAUAGCCAUGCCAAAAUGGUCCCUUGCUGAGGUUCAACUUGUGUCAUCGGGGCCUGAAACUGUAAUACCAGGGCAAAAUCUCAAUUUGGUCUGUAAAGUUACUGGUGUCUCCAUCACUAGUGGUAGCUAUGUUUGGAACUGGGUCCGUCAGCCUCCAGGGAAAGGAUUAGAAUGGAUUGCUAGAAUCUACCCCAAUGAUGGCAGAAAAUGGUACUCACCUUCUCUUCAAAGCCGCACCACCAUUGCUUCAGACAACUCCAAGAAUGAGUAUUCCCUUCAGUUGAACUCCAUGUCAGCUUCUGACACUGCCGUGUAUUAUUGUGCCAGAGAUACACACUGA
This is a non-coding RNA of Pantherophis guttatus, 412 nucleotides long. The record is from the annotation of a RefSeq genome assembly. NCBI's taxonomy places the organism in Eukaryota, Metazoa, Chordata, Lepidosauria, Squamata, Colubridae.